UUGUGCCAGGGGACCUUUCUGGAGACCGUGGACAGUUUCUGAAGUGUCCUUAUGCUCCCCGCUUUUACACAGGUGCUGCCUCCGACGUUCCCAGGCAGGGCUUGUGUGUUCCCUCCUGGGCAAAGCAAGAGUCAGAGUGAACGUGAGGUGGCUACGACCCCCCCGCCACUCAGCACAGCUGAGCAAGUAAGAGGAGAUAAAGAAGAGAAGAUGGCCAAAGUCAGAGUUGCUGCAAAUCCUCUGACCACAAGAAAUGGGAGCGAGUGCUCACAAAACUGCCUUGAGUCGCUGGAAGAGCUGCAGACUGUAGCCACGUGCCUCAUCCCUACGUGUUCCACCAACCUUACACCCAGUGCUCUCUUCUGAGCGACAUCGCUGGUCUGGUUUGCCUGGGACUGCACUGGUCUCCCCAGCGCUCCUCUCCGGGGAGCUGCCUUCACUUCCCAUGCUGCAAAGGGCCUUCUUGACAACUGCUGGCCGGGAGGGGGGAGGCGAAGGGGUCUCCGGUACUAUCUGGCCUCGGUUCAGUUACUUCGAGCAUUGAUUUAUAAGAUCAUCGUGUAUGUGCUGAGGUCCAGUACAUGGUCUUUCUAAUCUCUUGGUGUGGUAUGUGCAUCUUGCUCAGAGCUUCGGAGGACAGAUGGAAGCGGAUCACGUGAAACUUCCUCCUCUGUUUCUGCUGCUUCUUUUGAAUGAAUUUCCAUUCUAGGUGUGCUUAUAGGUGGAGAGGGUUUUUUUCCUUGUUUGAAUCUUUUCAUUUUCUAGCAGGUAUUUUCAUUUUAUGGCCUUAUGAUUGUAGAAUUUUGUAACAAAUAUUAAAGUUUGUACAAAUACUGCACAUAUAAAUGGAAAUGUGUGUAAGCANNNNNNNNNNNNNNNNNNNNNNNNNNNNNNNNNNNNNNNNNNNNNNNNNNNNNNNNNNNNNACUGUUCAACAGUAAAAUUGAGGCUAAAAGGUCUGUGCUCUGAUUUCGAGAACAUCACAGGCAGCAAUUAUAGCCUAAACGUUUAAUUCAGAACAGAGUUGCUCAACUUCGGAAAUUGCAUUUUGUAUGCUACCCCUAAAUUGUGCUACUCGCUCAUGAUGCAUCAGGAACGUUUUGGGAAGGUUUUAACAAGAGCAGUGUUCAUUCAUGUGUUGCGUCUGGUGUUUUGUGUUCAAAUACUCAAGAUGAUGCUUCUCUUGCUUUGACUGAAAAAGGUUUUUGGGCUGGCGCCUGUUGUUUAUUAGAAAUGUCUUCAAGACAAAAGCUUUGAUAUGUCAGAACAUCUAUGGGUAAAGUCACCUUGAAACUGAAAGGCUACAAAUGAUUGCAAGGUGAAUCAUGCUUUCGACAGCAUCUUCGGUGAUUUUUGUCAAUAGAAGCCAGAAAAAAUGGUGGGUCAUGAACUGGUAAUUCAGCUUCUGUAUAUCUGGGGUUUUUUUUCCCGUAUUUGGAGCUUGGUUAGCAGCAAGCUGUUGCGUUCUCCUUGCUGACACGUCUGAUGGGCUGAAUACCGAACGCUUGUGCAAGCUGUGAACCCCAGGCGCUACAGGCUCUCCAGCGACCAGCCCAAGCUCCUUCUGGAGACUUGGAUGAAACGUCUCGGAGGCGCCUGUUCUUUUAGUGCUAUCGCACAAUCAGUCGCUAAACUCGGAAGGAGCUGUCCUUAAAACGCGGACGGGCUGAGCCAGCUCUUCCCCUCUGUGGACCGCUCCCUGCCCCACGUCGUUAGCUGCCUCUGGAGCGUCCUUCCCUCUGUUGCUGCUUGUUCAAACCAGGUGUUAACAACACGCUCUCUAGGGAAGUCUUGUUUUAUAUCUGAGCCAAUAUCGUUAUUAAUCCACUUGGGGAGCAUGGCGUCUUCCCUUCCUGGUUUAAAUUGAGGGUAAGUUUGGCUGAAAGAAAAUUUCGUGGUGUUUUUCCUCACGCUACUGAGUUAAAAUCACCGGGUGAGUUGGUGGGUUUUGUGCUUCCACCUCUGCAGAUGACCUUGCUAGUGAAGGAGGACAGACUCACAGGCACACCUGUAUCUCCCUGUUGCUGUGCGCCAGCUGCUGGAGAUGAAGAAACUCCCCUGAAACUGCAUAAACUGUCUCUUGAGCUCGAUCUUCAUAGCCUCCUGCAGCGGUGUACAAGAUACUCGUUACCUGAGCCACAGCCCGAGCCAGGAUAUUCUCUGUUUUAAUAUUCAAUUCUUUAUGUAAAUUUUUCUAUAACAGAAACAAGUAAUUUGAUGAGCAAACGUGUUCACUUCCUUUGUUUCACAGUAAGCUCCUCGCUCUGUGUUUAAAGCCGUCGAGCUUGGAAAAGCGUAAUCCCGAGCGGCAAAGGGGCUGAUUGAAGGCGGAAACAGACUCUCCCUUCCCAAGAUGUCCAUAAUCUGCACGCAGCAAAGCAAAACUCCGACCAAGGGCGGAUCACCUCGCGCACGAGCGUUGGAGGCCUCGUGCAUCUAGGAAUCAGACGCUGCUGGGGUUUCUGAAACCAGAAAGAAGAGAUUUUUCUUUUUCUGCUAAAACCAAAGGUACCGCAGCCAGCCCGAGGCCUCGCUUUUUUGUGCUUACUGGGACGGUUUCCAGUGUUUAAGUGAAGGGUGCUAGCCUUGAGAGCAGGAAAGAAGCAAAACCCCUCGCUUUGGUUGUCGUUGUUGCCUGCAAGGAGACAGGGACGCCUUAUGUCUUUAGUCUGGAACCCAUUCUUAUAUUUAAGAAAAAUAACAAAGAGUUAAAUAGCACAAGAUUUCUUUUGCCUAGGGAAAGCUUUAGCUGAUAGAAGCUUAAUUCAGCAUUUGAUGUGAUUUAAAUUAGUUACGGAUGUGACACACUGUAGCCAAAAAAAAAAAACAACCCUGUGCAUCAAGAAUACUUUUGAUCCUCUCCUUUUCAGUUAAAAUUGUAUUAAACUGUUAUUAAAAUAUUCAUAUGUGGUAGCUAUCAAAAUAAAACAACCCCCCCCCCAAUCUGUCCUGCUCUC
Molecule: long non-coding RNA, 2956 nt
Organism: Struthio camelus australis
Lineage: Eukaryota; Metazoa; Chordata; Aves; Struthioniformes; Struthionidae
Source: Ensembl